This 74-nucleotide transfer RNA is filed under the name Myotis brandtii (Brandt's bat). It matches the Rfam family "tRNA". Rfam says of the family: Transfer RNA (tRNA) molecules are approximately 80 nucleotides in length. The record is from Rfam by way of RNAcentral. Lineage: Eukaryota; Metazoa; Chordata; Mammalia; Chiroptera; Vespertilionidae.
GCCAGUGUGGCUCAGUGGGUAGAGCGUCGGCCUUCGAACUGAAGGGUCCCGGGUUCGAUUCCCAGUCAAGGGCA